AAUGAACGCUGGCGGCAUGCCUAACACAUGCAAGUCGAACGAAGGCUUCGGCCUUAGUGGCGCACGGGUGCGUAACGCGUGGGAAUCUGCCCUUGGGUUCGGAAUAACUCGCCGAAAGGCGUGCUAAUACCGAAUGAUGACGUAAGUCCAAAGAUUUAUCGCCCAGGGAUGAGCCCGCGUAGGAUUAGCUUGUUGGUGAGGUAAAAGCUCACCAAGGCGACGAUCCUUAGCUGGUCUGAGAGGAUGAUCAGCCACACUGGGACUGAGACACGGCCCAGACUCCUACGGGAGGCAGCAGUGGGGAAUAUUGGACAAUGGGCGAAAGCCUGAUCCAGCAAUGCCGCGUGAGUGAUGAAGGCCUUAGGGUUGUAAAGCUCUUUUACCCGGGAUGAUAAUGACAGUACCGGAGAAUAAGCUCCGGCUAACUUCGUGCCAGCAGCCGCCGCGGUAAC
RNAcentral lists this ribosomal RNA (452 nucleotides) under uncultured bacterium. Its description in RNAcentral is "bacterial SSU rRNA". It matches the Rfam family "Bacterial small subunit ribosomal RNA", at positions 29 to 524 of the family's 1533-position model. The record is from RNAcentral.